Syzygium oleosum is the source of this 1133-nucleotide long non-coding RNA. RefSeq lists it as uncharacterized. The transcript has 2 exons. NCBI's taxonomy places the organism in Eukaryota, Viridiplantae, Streptophyta, Magnoliopsida, Myrtales, Myrtaceae. The record is from RefSeq and is a predicted model, not a curated record.
AAUUGCGCUACAGAGAAACAGAGGGUGAGAUGAUUCCGAAACAACAAACAGAGGAAGAUACGCCUAGAGAAAUCUCCACAGACGGCUGGUUCCUCGUGACAAUCAGGCGAUGAUGAAAUCGUCAAUGAACAGUCAGGUCGUUUCGUCUCCGAUUGAACUCUAGAAAUAUUUUAGAUUCAUCCCAAAAUUUGUCUGUUGAUUUCUGUUUUGGCUUUUGUUUUCUCCCAAUCUCUCGCCGUAUUCCGAAUUUCCAUUGCCGUCGGUUGCACUGCGGAGCAGGAAUCGAGUUCGCAAGGAAGGUGUUCGAUGGAAUGACGAAGCCGGACUCUGUUCUGAAGAAUACCUUUUCAAGAGAGAGAGAGAGAAUCAGCAAGCUUUAUCUGGCGGCGAGAGCAAGUUCAAGUUCGAGAGCGCAAGAUGUUGUCAAUUCUCGGACAAAAGCCGGAGGAUCGGAUGCUGUGUAGUGUUGAUAGAGGAUGCGAAAGAGUUGUGCUGCAGUGACGCGGUUACAGAGUUAUGCUAGUGCGAUGAAAGAGAUGACUGUGAGAGAGGCUCUGAAUACUGCGCUUGAUAAGGAAAUGCCUGCAGAUCCUAGAGUCAAUCUAAUGGGUUGUGAGGAGGUCGGAGGAUACCAAGGAGCCUUUCAAGGUGUCUUAAAGGUUCUUUUGCAGAAGUAUGGACCUGAGAGGGUUGUUGAUGCUCCUAUCACAGGGGCUGGUUUCACUGGAGUUGAAGUCGAGCCUACAAGGUGUCUUUAGUUUCAAGAGGAGCUGCAGCAGGAGUUGGUGCCCGACACUCCCAAGCCCUGCGAGGACGUCGCCAUCCCACUUGGAGGAAGCUUUACCGGAUCCGGUCUCGUUAAAUCACUCAUCACCCCUCGGGGUCUAUCGGACACGAGAAUCGUCCAUGGCGUACGAAAUGAGAGUUGCUCAUGAACUGUGUAACAUCUCUGGGAGUGGAUAGUUGGCAUGGUCGCAAAUUUUAUUGGUGUUUACUCAAGUCUCCUUUUCAGUUGCUAUCAUUACGGUAUCAACAUAAGCACAGAAAGAUGAGGUGUACUUAAUAACGUAGGCGCAGGAUGGGACCAUUGUUAUUACUCUGAUUAGCUCAGCUUGUAAUGUUUGGUAUUAGCC